Molecule: ribosomal RNA, 448 nt
Filed under: uncultured bacterium
Lineage: Bacteria
Description: partial 16S ribosomal RNA
Rfam family: Bacterial small subunit ribosomal RNA
Source: RNAcentral
AACGAACGCUGGCGGCAGGCUUAACACAUGCAAGUCGAACGCAUCCUUCGGGGUGAGGGGCAGACGGGUGAGUAACGCGUGGGAACGUGCCCUUCAGUUCGGGAUAACCCAGGGAAACUUGGGCUAAUACCGGAUACGUGCGAGAGCAGAAAGAUUUAUCGCUGAAGGAUCGGCCCGGGUCUGAUUAGCUAGUUGGUGGGGUAAUGGCCCACCAAGGCGACGAUCAGUAGCUGGUCUGAGAGAAUGAUCAGCCACAUUGGGACUGAGACACGGCCCAAACUCCUACGGGAGGCAGCAGUGGGGAAUAUUGGACAAUGGGCGCAAGCCUGAUCCAGCCAUGCCGCGUGAGUGAUGAAGGCCUUAGGGUUGUAAAGCUCUUUCGUCCGGGACGAUAAUGACGGUACCGGAAGAAGAAGCCCGGCUAACUUCGUGCCAGCCGCCGCUGUAA